GAGCUGAGGAGACACCGUGUCCUGCCAGUUCUGACCGUCGCACACUUCAUCCUCCAGCGCUGCAGCGUCCGGUAGCAGAGCCAACGAGCUGCUGGACGCAGAUGAUGAUGUGCUGUGCUGCAGUGGCCUGAGGCCCGGCCCCUCCCUCUCCUCCCCACAGUCCUCCAUGUCCACAUCGCUGCGAGAGCGGGGGACAGACUCUGUCCCUGAGGCAACACCCCGCCGACGCCCUUCUCCCUGAGCCUUCAACGACUCGCUGCGUGCCAGACGCACUGAGACCGUAGGGCUGCAAAAGAGAGCAAGAGGUAAACAUACAGCAUUUUAGCUGCUGGAGGAGAGCCUCUGGGGGUCGGCAGCGUCACCUCCCUCCUCUCCCGUCGUCUCUGUGUGAUUCUCAAACUGCUGGAUGAUGUUCCUCACACUGCCAGGACGGACUGCACACAAGAAUAUUACUUAAUGGUACAACUACACCUCCAGCAGAAAGAGCUGAUGCGAUUAAAACGAGGUGGAACACAAGCAAACUACUACAUGCAAAGAAUAACUUAGGGUCUCCAUCAAGGUGAUGCAGGUCUCCUUCUCCAAACAGAGAGCCAAGACCCAUCAUCUGCUUGUUCCUACCAAACACAGAAAAACAAGCUUAACAGGGCCGAUGAUCUGCGCCUUUCCACCCUUUGAAAACAGGUACACACACACACACACACACAGAUUUCAAGAAAUGGGAAGUACUUGGUCACACACUGGAGGACACUGACAGUAAGUGCAGUGCUCAGCACAAAACCAUUAGAUGAUGUGAAAUAUGGUUGUGGUCGUGGCAGUUUCACUGCUUGUCUCAUACAUUUGAAGCAGUUAUGUAAGUCACACUGGUGCAUGACA
This is a long non-coding RNA of Toxotes jaculatrix (banded archerfish), 873 nucleotides long. RefSeq lists it as uncharacterized. The record is from RefSeq and is a predicted model, not a curated record. The transcript has 5 exons. Lineage: Eukaryota; Metazoa; Chordata; Actinopteri; Toxotidae.